Molecule: ribosomal RNA, 250 nt
Filed under: uncultured prokaryote
Description: partial 16S ribosomal RNA
Rfam family: Bacterial small subunit ribosomal RNA
Source: RNAcentral
UACGUAGGUGGCGAGCGUUGUCCGGAAUUACUGGGCGUAAAGGAUGCGUAGGUGGAUACUUAAGUGGGAUGUGAAAUCCCCGGGCUCAACCCGGGAACUGCAUUCCAAACUGGGUGUCUAGAGUGCAGGAGAGGGAAGCGGAAUUCCUAGUGUAGCGGUGAAAUGCGUAGAUAUUAGGAGGAACACCAGUGGCGAAGGCGGCUUUCUGGACUGUAACUGACACUGAGGCAUGAAAGCGUGGGUAGCAAAC